AAACGUGUUAGCCCUGAUGGUUUCUUCUUUCCCCUUCAGCUUGUGUUGUUGAUGAAGAAAGCAGCUGAAACACAGAGGAACCCCGAAUCCUGGAACUUGGACUUGUACAGAAUAGAUGGUAAAGGAAACAUUCAAUUUCAAAUGUGGUAGACCUUAUCUCUAUUUAUAGUAAUGACUAGCUCUUUCAAAAUUUAUUUUGAUCUUUUCUGAAUCUAUAUUCAGAAACUGCUCAAACACUUAGUCAUGCCUUUUAGUGUGAGUUUGAGCGAUUGCAGAAUGUCAAGAACUGUAAUUUCAUUUUGGCAUUUCAACUAAAUCCAAGCCAAUGCCAUUGCGCAUUCUGCUUGAUUAAGUUACGUGUAUAUUGUUUUAUAGGCUAGAGUCAUAAAAUCUUGACCAUGAUAUGAAGUUCACUUCCUGCCUAUGUUGUAUAAUGUGUUAGGCGUUAUUUAGACCCGUCGCUAGGGCUGAGGACCUAAUAAGUGUCGCGACUCUAGAUGGGGUUAGAACUUAAACGCUGCCAAUUUGGGGAAGCUAGAAGCACCAAUGACCGCCUAAUGACUGGGUUUGGCAUGAUAAAGGUGGGUGGGGAUUUCCUUUAAAUUCAUUCCUAUCUUCAACAACAACAAUUUAUAUCAAGUACUUGAGGGGUUCAGGGCGACAAUCUGAGUCAAAAAAUUUGUAUGUUCAUAGAUAUAUUGGUUAUGAUCGUCUAUAUUGCACAUGAAUGAAUUGUUGGUCUGAAAUUGUUGUUUUCUUGAACAAAUCAUUAAGAUGAAUUUUCUUUUUAGAUUAUAGUAUGCUGCUAACCUUAUUACAUUUUUUUUCUUCACAUUUCAUCUUUGUAGAUUAAAAUCAAAUAGAAUAUAGAAAGUUGAGGGUAAUUUUCUUAUUACAUCU
RNAcentral lists this long non-coding RNA (900 nucleotides) under Salvia miltiorrhiza (redroot sage). RNAcentral describes it as "long non-coding RNA (SMIL_LNC005048)". The record is from RNAcentral. Lineage: Eukaryota; Viridiplantae; Streptophyta; Magnoliopsida; Lamiales; Lamiaceae.